RNAcentral lists this ribosomal RNA (997 nucleotides) under Bolotoperla rossi. RNAcentral describes it as "eukaryotic LSU rRNA". It matches the Rfam family "Eukaryotic large subunit ribosomal RNA", at positions 652 to 1895 of the family's 3401-position model. Lineage: Eukaryota; Metazoa; Arthropoda; Insecta; Plecoptera; Taeniopterygidae. The record is from RNAcentral.
UCUUGAAGCACGGACCAAGGAGUCUAACAUGUGCGCGAGUCAUUGGGACCGUACUAAACCUAAAGGCGUAAUGAAAGUGAAUGCCGGCCACCUCGGUGGUCGCGCAGAGGGGAGAUGCCCGUCGUCCUCGCGACGCACGCGGCCGCAUCCCCGGGGCGUCUCGUAGUCAUUGCGACUCAGCAGGCGCACCCAGAGCGUACACGUUGGGACCCGAAAGAUGGUGAACUAUGCCUGGUCAGGUCGAAGUCAGGGGAACUGGCGCUCGGAGAACUCUGAUGUGCGGGGACCUCGGCCUCGCGCCGUGCGUCCCCCACGAAAACCAGUCUCAUCUGGUAAAGCGAAUGAUUAGAGGCCUUGGGGCCGAAACGACCUCAACCUAUUCUCAAACUUUAAAUGGGUGAGACAUUCGACUUGCUUAAAUGCUCUGUCGUUGAAGUCGAACCAUACAGGAUGAAAGAGUGCCAAGUGGGCCAAUUUUGGUAAGCAGAACUGGUGCUGUGGGAUGAACCAAACGUCGAGUUAAGGCGCCUAAAUCGAUGCUCAUGGGAUACCAUGAAAGGCGUUGGUUGCUUAAGACAGCAGGACGGCGAUGUUGAUGGUUGUCGUUGUAUACUAAAAUAAAUUUGUGAUCGACACUAGCAAAUUGACACCAUCGGGCGAAAGGGAAUCCGGUUCCUAUUCCGGAACCCGGCUGCGGAACCGACCAUGCGGGCCACCCUGUCGCAAGACAGGACUCGUCGGGGUAACCCAAAAGGACCCGGAGACGCCGUCGGAUGAUCGGGGCAGAGUUUUCUGUUCUGUAUGAGCGUUCGAGUUCCCUGGAAUCGCCUAGCGCGGAGAUAGGGUUUGGAACGCGAAGAGCACCGCACUUGCGGCGGUGUCCCGAUCUAUCCCUCGGACCUUGAAAAUCCGGGAGAGGGCCACGUGGAGGUGUCGCGCCGGUUCGUACCCAUAUCCGCAGCAGGUCUCCAAGGUGAGGAGCCUCUAGUCGAUAGAA